This 484-nucleotide ribosomal RNA is filed under the name uncultured bacterium. RNAcentral's name for it is "partial 16S ribosomal RNA". It matches the Rfam family "Bacterial small subunit ribosomal RNA", at positions 30 to 507 of the family's 1533-position model. The record is from RNAcentral.
AUUGAACGCUGGCGGCAUGCUUUACACAUGCAAGUCGAACGGCAGCACGGGCUUCGGCCUGGUGGCGAGUGGCGAACGGGUGGGUAAUAUAUCGGAACGUACCCAGACGUGGGGGAUAACGUAGCGAAAGUUACGCUAAUACCGCAUACGAUCUAUUGUUGACAGCAGGGGACCGCAAGGCCUUGUGCCCCUGGAGCGGCCGAUAUCUGAUUAGCUAGUUGGUGAGGUAAAGGCUCACCAAGGCGACGAUCAGUAGCUGGUCUGAGAGGACGACCAGCCACACUGGAACUGAGACACGGUCCAGACUCCUACGGGAGGCAGCAGUGGGGAAUUUUGGACAAUGGGCGCAAGCCUGAUCCAGCAAUGCCGCGUGAGUGAAGAAGGCCUUCGGGUUGUAAAGCUCUUUUGUCAGGGAAGAAACGGUAGAGGCUAAUAUCCUUUGCUAAUGACGGUACCUGAAGAAUAAGCACCGGCUAACUACGUG